Molecule: long non-coding RNA, 1094 nt
Organism: Girardinichthys multiradiatus
Lineage: Eukaryota; Metazoa; Chordata; Actinopteri; Cyprinodontiformes; Goodeidae
Exons: 2
Source: RefSeq, a predicted model, not a curated record
UGUAUAAAUGUAUACACAUAUAAGGUACAAUGCUUGUAGUUCCAGAACUGCAGUUUCAACUGCGUUAUCCUCAUGUUUCCAUGUAAAACAUUGCAAUCAGCUCAAUCUGCUGCCUCAUUGCGUGCAGUUUGUCUGCGUAAGCUCGCCUCUGACGUGCGUUUCUCGUGAUGCCUACGUCAUGACGCUGCCAGCUGAUCGGAGUGGGAAGCCGGGUUGUGUGUGUGGACUGGGCGUGUGAAUGUGUGUGAGAUAUAGAGGGAGGGAGGACUGGGACAGACAGGAGUUGUGUAAAAAAAAAAAAAAAAAAAGUGGGGGGGGUGAGAGAAGAAGAAGAGGGGCUGAAGUCCUACGCUGCCUUCUCCGCUGCUCCGGCGAUAAAAAGCGCUCCAGAUACCAGAAAUUCAGUCAAACCUUUAGGUGGUCUCCGAGCGUAAACGUGGAGGAAACCACAGACACCGACACACCCUGCAAAAGCUCCAAGGAGGACUCCGCGGGGAGCAGUGGGCGAUGCGGAGCUCUGAACUCCGGCGGAGCGUUCGGGAUGAUCCGGGAAGCGGGCAGGAGCAGCGGCCCGGCCGGUGGUGCUGAAGGGAUGCACCUACAAUCAAAAGAUGGAAGGAGAAGGAGUCACAUUUUGUAAGAUUAAUGAGAAGGUGCGUCACCUCGGGACUGAAGGUUUGAGCUCUGUUGUUGUGCUGGCCUCAGUUGGCUGACACACAGCAGUUCUUCACUGGCGAGCUUUAUGUUCCUAUACACAUGCUAAAGCUGCCAGCUGAAGAACUGCUAUGGUCAGCCCUGCCCUGCUCAUUUCAAGAAGAGGAAGAAGAUCAGCUGGUGGGAAUGUAGCUCAGUAAUCUGGAUUUUCUAUACUGUUUUUUUAUUUUAACCAUUACUGUAUUCUGUGUUAAUCCAUUAAUUAGUUUGUUUCAUGGUAAAAUCCUGUGCAUUCCUUCAUAAAUGUUGUAAAUUAUCAGUUUUCUCCUUCCUGCAAUAAAGAACAAGAAGUCUCAUUAACUUCAGACUAAAGGCAAUAAAACCCUGCAGCAGUGAUGGAUCUCAUGUUUAAUAAUAAAACAAAAACUCACAGAAAUGCA